Picea glauca (white spruce) is the source of this 121-nucleotide non-coding RNA. NCBI's taxonomy places the organism in Eukaryota, Viridiplantae, Streptophyta, Pinopsida, Pinales, Pinaceae. The record is from Rfam.
ACAUGCCUACAACAUAGUGUUAAUGCAUCAGAUCCCAUUAGACUUAUGCAGUUAAGCACGCUCAUGCUAGAGUAGUAUUGGGAUGGAUGACCGCUUGAGAAGUCCUACUGUUUUACAUGCC